Apis florea (little honeybee) is the source of this 428-nucleotide long non-coding RNA. Lineage: Eukaryota; Metazoa; Arthropoda; Insecta; Hymenoptera; Apidae. The record is from RefSeq and is a predicted model, not a curated record.
AAACCAGUGUCAUCGGCAACAUAAUUUACAGUAUAUGCAACAUUAGUUUGUGGGUCAAUGAAAGAGAAGGUACCUCGAACUCGUAAGAAUUGACCAUCAGUUCCUCCUUCGACCACUUCUGCAGAUUCCUGUUUAACUUGACCGUCGGAAAGUUGGAAACCGUAAUUAUAACCACCAAGUCCAACAUUGUCAGAGGGAGUUUCUUUAACGAGAACUAUUUCUUGAUAUAGCGGCGCAGCGGAAACAACGACAACCAGAGCAAAAAUAAUAAUAAUCUAAAAGGAGGCAGACUUCCAAAAUUCUUCAGUAAAGAUGUCGAAAUCAUCGAGUGGCAUUGGCCGGUUGGCGGUGGUAGAACGAUGACCGACAAAGGAAGAGGCGGUGAAUGUCAGGCAAGAAUUCAAGGAAGAGCGGCCCAGGAUCGAAAA